GAGCCAAGGGUAGGAGCGGGAGAGUCGAGGAGAGGAGGAGCGGGCGGCCUGAGGAGGAGGAGCGGGCGGAGUCACCGCACCGCCGGCGGCGGCGGAGGAGGGGGGUGUGCGCGGAUCACAUGGUCGAGGAGCCCUCCAGGUCAGCUGCCGUGCCCGCUGCCGAGCCCUGCCACAGGAAACUGCUGUGCCGCGCUUGUGCCGUGCGGCCCCCAGGAGCCGCCCGCACCCGGUGCUCAUGAUGUGGGCCCGCGAGCGCCACCGCCUGCAGUCCCGGGCGGCGCGGUGAGGGCCGCACCCUGUCCAGCGCCAUGGAGCUGAACGCAGGAGGUGUGAUUGCCUACAUCAGUUCCUCUAGCUCUGCCUCCAGCCCUGCCUCUUGUCACAGUGAGGGUUCUGAGAAUAGCUUCCAGUCCUCGUCCUCGUCUGUUCCAUCUUCUCCAAAUAGCUCUAACUGUGAUGCCAACGGCAAUCCCAAGAACGCUGAUAUCUCUAGCAUCGAUGGUGUUCUGAAGAGUGACCGCACAGAUUGUCCUGUGAAAACAGGCAAAACCAGUGCUCCUGGCAUGACUAAGAGUCACAGUGGAAUGACAAAAUUUAGUGGCAUGGUUCUACUGUGUAAAGUCUGUGGGGAUGUGGCAUCAGGAUUCCACUAUGGAGUUCAUGCUUGUGAAGGCUGUAAGGGUUUCUUUCGGAGGAGCAUUCAGCAAAACAUCCAGUAUAAGAAGUGCCUGAAGAAUGAGAACUGUUCCAUCAUGAGGAUGAACAGGAACCGGUGCCAGCAGUGCCGCUUUAAGAAGUGUCUGUCUGUGGGGAUGUCACGAGAUGCUGUUCGAUUUGGCCGAAUUCCUAAGCGUGAAAAACAGAGAAUGCUAAUUGAAAUGCAAAGUGCAAUGAAGACCAUGAUGAACACCCAGUUCAGUGGCCACCUGCAGAAUGACACCUUAGCAGAACAGCAUGAUCAGUCAGCACUACCAGCUCAGGAACAGCUGCGGCCCAAGUCCCAGCUGGAGCAAGAAAACAUCAAAAACACUCCUUCUGAUUUUGCAAAGGAGGAAGUGAUUGGUAUGGUGACCAGAGCCCACAAGGAUACCUUUCUGUAUAAUCAGGAACAUCGAGAAAACUCAUCUGAGAGCAUGCCACCUCAGAGAGGAGAACGGAUUCCCAGGAACAUGGAGCAAUAUAAUUUAAAUCAAGACCAUCGUGGCAGUGGGAUUCACAACCACUUCCCCUGUAGUGAGAGGCAGCAACAUCUCAGUGGACAGUACAAAGGGAGGAACAUAAUGCAUUACCCAAACGGCCAUGCCGUUUGUAUUGCAAAUGGACACUGUAUGAACUUCUCCAGUGCUUAUACUCAAAGAGUCUGUGAUAGAAUUCCAGUAGGUGGAUGUUCUCAGACUGAGAACAGAAAUAGUUACCUGUGCAACACUGGAGGGAGGAUGCAUCUGGUACAGUGAAAUCGAUUCUUUGCUCGCCUUGUAUCAAGGAAAGCUUGGAAGGUUUUCUUUUGGGGGGCAUGUUGAGUUGGGAGGUGGGUGAGAAAGCCCAAGAGAUUUCUAGAAGCCUCUUUGUGUAGUAUUUUAGUGAAAUGUUAAUAAGCAGUGCAUAAGGAUUAACUUAAUUUUACAUAACAGUAGGUAUGAGCUUGUGCUUUAAUUGCUACUGUGGGGUUAGGAUUUGUAUAAAAUAUGAUUGGUACAGAAUUGAUCCUAUAAUUCCUAGAAAUAUCUUUGGAAAUUUAGGUGUUCCGAUCAGUUAGUAGUUCAUUAACAUUGGAAUCUUUUGCAAAAGAGUUGAUCUUUUAGCUUCUUUGAUUUCUUCGGAGAGAGAUUUUGUUGCUUUUGUGGGGAUGGUCUUGGGAUGUUGCUUUGAGCUCCUGGGUUCAAGCAAUCUUGUGGAUCAUUGGGACUUCAGGGUGCAUCACUGCCAAACAGAGGUUGGUUUUUUGUUUUUGUUUUUGUUUUUGUUUUUGGGAUUUUGAGACAGAGUUUCUCCGUACAGCCCUGACUGUCCUGGAACUCAUUUUUUAGACAAGGCUGGCCUCGAACUCAGAAAUCUGUCUGCCUCUUCCUCCCGAGUGCUGGGAUUAAAGGUGUGCACCACCACGCCUGGCUCCAAACAGAGGUUUUAAAAGCCAUACUGAUGUAGUAAGAGUUUUGGAGAUAGAUAUUUUACGGUUUGAGAAAAAAAUAUAUACAUAUAUAAUUUAUUUUUCUUUUCCAAGAUAGCAUUUCUUUGUAUAGCUCUCACUGCCCUGGAACUCAAUCUAGAUCAGGCUGGCCUUGAACUCAGAGAUUUCGAGUCUCUGCCUCUGCCUCCUGAGUCCUGGGAAGAAAUAUAGUAGCCUGAUUUCUAAGAUUUUAUCCUGAGAUCAGUUAAUAUUCAUAUCAUUCAAAUUCAUUUCAUCAAAUUCAACAUUCUACACAAAAAUACAGUGUUUAUGGUCAGCCAGAAUUUCAUCAGAACAACAGUACUCCGUAUGUCAUUUCCAGUUUAAACCAUGAGGUCUUUUGGUGUAGUGCUUGCUUUCAGCUGCCAGGUAAUUAUCUUUUUUUCUUUUUUAAAUCCUAAAACUAGUUGAUUCUAUUACAGUCUUCAUGUUCAGCUUUCCUUUUGUCUUUUGCCAGUGUCUGAGGUCUGAGGGUAGUCUAGAAGAUGCCUUAAACUUAGUGCUCUCCUGGUACUUCAGGUGCUAAGGUUCUUCUCUAGGCACUUGUAGGCUUUGUAGAUGCUGGUUUCAUAGCUGUCUCCAGGCUUAGGAAUCCUCUCAUUCCUUGAUUCCUAUGGGUUUAAUGAAAAUUUAAAGGCUGUUUUUAGUAAUAGACCAUGCUUCAUACCGUUUUAGUGGUCUUGCAGCUUCUUUGGCUUCCUCAGCUCAUGUUUAGAAGGUGUACCUCAUAUCCACAGUCAGUUAGUUUCCUGGCUGCACAGAUGGAGGUCACUGGUCUCAGCAUUGUUAAGGAGCUAAAGGAUCAGUGAUGCUUUUUCCCCUCAAUUAUUUAUUUAUUUUCAUUCACUUUAUAUUCUGAUCACAGCUCCAGUUCCUUCUCUCUUCCCAGCUCUGCCCUUACAAAUUCCUCCUUCUAUCACCCUCCCCCUUUUCAUAGAAGGGGAAGCCCACCCUGGGACAUGUAGUCCCAGCAGUGACCCUCUUAAAUUGAGGUGCCUUAUACUUUUGGAACUUGCAGUGUUUUUGUUUACUGAGAAUAAAUAAGCCCUGAAAUGGGAAGUAAAGAGAUUUGUGGCCUUACUCUGUUUGGAUAAGGCACCGAGUCUUUCAGAGGAUCAUGUACUCAACUAAGAAAGGGUAAUUAUGGACUAAGGUGCAGCUUUUGUAGUGGAGCUCUUGUUUUGCUUGUGCCAAAAGACUAUGGAUUUCAUCUACUAGCAGAGAAAAGACAAAGAUUAUUGAUUAUAAUUGACCAUAAUAACCAGGGUGAGAAAGAGAUCUGUUUUCAAAAGUCAAGGCCCUGCACAUGCAUGUAAGGUGGUCAAGACCCUGCACAUGUGUGUAAGGUGGCAGCUGUUGCCCAUUUAAGAGGGUUCUCAAGUUCUUGUUUAUGCAGUGUUUGCCUAGGUUACCUCUUACAGUAGGUCCAUAGCUGUUUCAAUUAACUUGUCAUAAGGCUUUUAAAAGCACAUUGGAGACAGGGUCUCAUGUACUCAUGCCUGGCCUGGUACUCACAGAGAUCUUUCUGUCUCUGCUUCCCUAGUACUGGGAUUAAAGCUUUACAAGGUCAUUUAAGUGUAUAGGAUAUGUGUUUCUAUUUUAUUUUAAAUUUUAUUAUUGUUGCUUUUUGUUUUGAGAUAGGGUCUUACUACAUACUUCUGUUGAUCUUAAACUAAAUGUGAGUACCAGUUGGUUUUGAACUCAGAGAUCCUCAUGCCUUUUCCUCCCUUGUGCUGAGAUUAAACUCAUGUGCCACCACAUCUGGCUAUUUUAAUUUUAAUUAUGUGCAUGUGUGAGUGUGGGUGUGUACACAUGUGUGAAGGUGCUGAAGGAGGCCCCUGAAACUGCAGUUAAUAGGCCACUGAUGAGUGUGCUGGGAACUGAACUACAAGAGCUAAGCCAUCUCUAUGGUUGAAUAUGUGAUUUGUAAAGCCUCCAUUUUAAAAUAUUUACCCACUUCAUUGGUGAGAACUCACACAUUUUCUUAUGUACAUUGAAGAUAAUCUAAUUGUAUUUACUAUGGUGAGAAUUCCUGUUUUGAGGUAAGAUGUAUUUACAGAAAGUGAUGGAAGGCCUUACUUGAGUUAGGAGUUAUUUCAUGUUGUGGUUUCUCAUAAUCGAGGUGACACUUUGGAAUUUUUUGCCACUCUUCAAAAUUUAAGAGUUUUUCUAUUUCUUGUAAAUUAGGUGUGUCCUAUGAGCAAGUCUCCAUAUGUGGACCCUCAGAAGUCUGGACAUGAAAUCUGGGAAGAAUUUUCAAUGAGUUUUACCCCAGCAGUAAAAGAGGUGGUGGAAUUUGCAAAGAGGAUUCCUGGCUUCCGAGAUCUGUCUCAGCAUGAUCAGGUCAAUCUGUUAAAAGCUGGGACUUUUGAGGUUUUAAUGGUACGAUUUGCUUCAUUAUUUGAUGCAAAGGAACGGACUGUCACCUUUCUAAGUGGUAAGAAGUACAGUGUGGAUGACCUGCACUCAAUGGGAGCAGGGGAUCUGCUCAGCUCUAUGUUUGAGUUCAGUGAGAAGCUGAAUGCCCUCCAGCUCAGUGAUGAGGAAAUGAGCUUGUUCACAGCAGUUGUUCUGGUAUCUGCAGAAGCAGUUGAAGUUAGCAUCAAAUUUAAAGAAAUAAGAAACUCUGGAUUGGAAAGAUGGCUCAGCAGUUAAGAGUAAUGGCUGAUUUUCCAGAGAACUAGGGUUUGAUUCCUAGCACCAGUUCCAGAGAAUCCCACUUGGUAUCAGGCAUCCAAGUGGUACAUGGACAUACUUAUCGAUCUGGAAUUGAAAAUGUCAACUCAGUGGAGGCUUUGCAGGAAACACUCAUCCGUGCACUAAGGACCUUAAUAAUGAAAAACCAUCCAAAUGAGGCCUCCAUUUUUACAAAAUUACUUCUAAAGUUGCCAGAUCUUCGAUCUUUAAACAACAUGCACUCUGAGGAACUCUUGGCCUUUAAAGUUCAUCCUUAAGGCCUUUGAACAUGAACUGAUGCUAAUGUACAUUUUAUGCUGAGAUGUUUAUUUAUAUGUGUAUACUAUAUUGUGGAAAUAGAAAAGAACUUAGCGCCAGGUCCUGGGCUGUCUCUGUAGUCAGUCACCAGUAGCUGUUGGGAUAAGAACUCGUUGUCUUGUUAGACAUUGGCCCACCCUCCCCUGUAGACCAAUCAGCUGUGUUGCACUUAGACUGGAGAAGUUACACUGAAUUAUAAUCACACUGAAUGUUAGACUUUUUCAUCUGCCAAAGCCAAAAUACCAUUUGAUCUCCCCAUGGUAUAAAUCUAGCGCACAUUGCCGAUAUAGGAGGACUUAGACAUUAACCCUUUGUGCUGGGAAUUCUGUUGUACCACAAGACUGAAAUGUGGUAAGGGAGACUGAGAGCCAAGAGGUCUUUAUGUACUUGGAUUUUGCUCUGCCACUGUCAAAGUACGUGGUGGUGGCAGUCUCUGAGUUUUGGAAAAUGAUAAUUGAUAGUGUCCCCAAUGUUCUGCCUCAAAUACUGAAAACUAUCCAUAAAGCGUCUUUACCUCUUGGGAGAUAGGCACUAUGUAAAUAAGGUGAAGUUUUUAUUAUAAUUGCUCAUAAUAGUAUUCUUGUCUUAUUUCUAAGCAUUUCUGGGAAACUUUGACAGUCCACACCAAUUUAUUCAGGGUUCCUGCUCAAGUAGGGUACCCUACUGAUAAACACAUAUUCCAGGUUUAUGGACACCUCAAAUAGUAUGUGUACAUAGUGUGUAUGUGAAUAUAAUUAUAUAUAAAAAUCUUACUUCACAAUAUUUUAAACUGUGAAGAACUUUAUCAUACAAUAAAACUUAAACAAGAGGUGUCAAGGACCCAAAUUAGGUGCAUUUUACCUGUUGCUGCUGAUGUAUAACCAUUGCUUUACAAUGUUUAGAUGGUAGAAUACUGAAGUUAAUGCUCUUAUUUUUGUUUAAGGAACAUUUAAUGUAAAAGUGUGAAGAGCAGUCAAAUCUGGAUUUUAGAAAAAAAUGUAUUUUAGGAUGCAUCUUUGAUACAAUCUGCAGUUGAAGGUAAUAGAUGUUUCAGUGUUUCAGCUUUCUACCUUGUGCUAUUAGUAGAGGUGGUAUUGCUGCCUCUUACGUGCUUCAGGUGGAUGGCAGAUUUGGAUUCUGUAUGGAGGAGGUUUUGUUUAGGAAAACUUUGUGACCUGUUGGCAUGUUUGUGCCAAGUCCACUUUUCUUUCUUUCCCUAAAUAAUACUACAGGGAUUUUGUCAAUUUAGAUUUAAUAUAAUUUGAGAAACCUUUUAGUAAGUGACCUACCUACAGGCUUAGAGAUCAUGGUAGGAAAGAUGGCCAAAGUUAAAGAUUCAUGAACAACACCCCGUGCCCCCCAAAGUAGCAAUUCAUUGUAUUUUGGGGGUAAAAUUACUUUCUGUGUAAUGCUAGAUUAUGUGAAAUUGUAACGACAUUAAGAACCUGCUUUACUACUUAAAGCCUGUUACUUUUAUGACAUUUAAUCAGAAUGCCUUAUUUUGUAGUUUUAACUUGUUGCUACAGGAUUUGAACUUCUGUGGUACAGUUAGGAGAGCUUGAGAAAGAUAAACUCCUAUUGUCAAAGAGGAAAGUGAUGGUGUGUCUGUCAUUCAGUAGGGACCAUAACUGCUGCUUACGUUCAGUGGGUAUGGCUUUUAUGGGAUAUACAGCUAGGUUUUGUGAAUUCUUUACAUGAUAGCAUUCUUUUAUUUUUUUUCGUAGGAUAAAAAAAUGCAUAGUUUUCUUCUAUGAGGGAUAGAGAACUUUUUUGAAAUAAUACUAUGUUGAUUCUUUAUUUUUGCCUUUUACAUAAGUGUCUUUAUAACAUGUAUCUUUAGAGCAGUUAAGUCUUUGGAAAUAUGUAACCAGAACUGUUAGUAUUGCUUGUGAUGCUUUAGUUAGGGUUAGUAUAUACAUGUAUACACCAAAAUACAAGCAUGUAGAUUUGCAUUUUGUCUCGUAAAAUUUUAUUUUAAUAAAUUCUUCCUGAAGUAAUGGGAAACAAAAUCCAUAGUUCAUAUGCCACAUGUAGUAUUUCUGUAUUUGAAAGUAGCCCAAAGAUGAGCAUUCUAAUUCUAAAAUGAAACCAGCAGCCUCAUACAAGCACAUUCUUUGGUUGAGUCAUGGUCUAACAGUUAAUAAAUGACAUCAGCCAGAUAGAGAACCUCUGAGUCAGUGGGGUACUGUUGAUAAUUAACAAUGUACUGUAUGAAUUAAGUGACAUGUUAACCCUGACUUUAUGUUUCAAGGUUAAAAUAUGGGCAUUAUCUCAUCAGACUUAUGGGCAUUAUGUUAACAAGAUGAACCAUUUUUUCCUGUGCUUUUAGUAUGUGAUAUGAGAGGAUUCCAGCUUCUAGAGAGUGAACACUGAGGGAAAGGAGAGACAUCGUAGGAUAAAGUUUGUUCUCCUGGUAAUGGUUAAUUGCAGAUAAAAAAAUUUGAAGGGUGUUUCAGUAGAUUAAUAUAUAGAUUUCAUAUCUACAUUGUAAGAAAUUACCAUUGUGAUUGGGUCAGAAUUGAUGUGUGUUAUAUAAACAUUGCAAAGCAAAGCUGUGAGAGAAGCUCAGAUAGAUGUAUCUUUUUGCAAUAUAAAGUUUGCUGAAUGUA
RNA transcript from Mus musculus (house mouse), 7749 nucleotides. It is a transcript of the gene named nuclear receptor subfamily 1, group D, member 2, with no coding region annotated. NCBI's taxonomy places the organism in Eukaryota, Metazoa, Chordata, Mammalia, Rodentia, Muridae. The record is from RefSeq and is marked validated. The transcript has 8 exons.